Molecule: ribosomal RNA, 351 nt
Filed under: uncultured bacterium
Lineage: Bacteria
Description: partial 16S ribosomal RNA
Rfam family: Bacterial small subunit ribosomal RNA
Source: RNAcentral
CCUACGGGUGGCAGCAGUGAGGAAUAUUGGUCAAUGGGCGCGAGCCUGAACCAGCCAAGUAGCGUGAAGGAUGACUGCCCUACGGGUUGUAAACUUCUUUUAUAAAGGAAUAAAGUGAGGCACGUGUGCCUUUUUGUAUGUACUUUAUGAAUAAGGAUCGGCUAACUCCGUGCCAGCAGCCGCGGUAAUACGGAGGAUCCGAGCGUUAGCCGGAUUUAUUGGGUUUAAAGGGGGCGUACAUGGGUUUUUAAGUCAGUUGUGAAAGUUUGCGGCUCAACGGAAAGAUUGCAAUUGAGACUGGCAGCAGUGAGGACAGUAGAGGUAGGCGGAAUUCGUGGGGUAGCGGAGAAA